UCUAAGCAGUCCAUGGUGGAGGGAAACGUCAUUAUGGAGUGCAUGCUUGCCUGCCAAAGAAUUCAAACUGAGAAAACGUUUUUGAAGAAAACCUAUUUGAAAAGAGGUGCUCUAAGGUUCCUUUUGCACAAAGGCCAAAGGGGUAUGGUGGGCAGGUUUCCUGCUUCAUCUCAGGUCAAGAAAGUUUUGCCCGGAGCUGUACAGAGCUUGUUACAUGUCCCUUGCCAGGAAAAUGCACAGCAGACUGUUGUAUAACUUGCACCCCAAGAAUCUACAAGGCAAGGGAGAAGGAUAGACCAGCGGUGUCAUUAUCAGGGUGAAGGAGAGUUGUUGCUGCUCUCAGAUCAGCCUGUGCUCCCUGUUUGUCAGGACAAAGAAUCCAUCCACGUCUGGACCAUGAGUGAGGGGGCCUGCUUGAAGCCCCCUUAAACCUUGGAACAAUGGGUUUAAACUGAAGGUAGAAGCAACCAGAAGAAAAUGCAUUGCCCUCAACAUGGGAAGUGUGGUUGAAUGCCAUGGUGGGGGACAUUCCACACCUUUACACAUCUGCCAAGACAGAUAGUGGAAAGCCAUCUUCAACAGACCAGUUGGGAUAUUAUAUCAAUUUUUCUUACAAAAUUAUGCUGGAGGUAAUUAAUAUUGACUGAAUCGCAUUUGAGGAUAAUUAAGAAGAUGUUACAGAACUUGUCGUGAUAUGGAAAAUAAGCAUAUGAGAUGUUCCACAUCAUAAGUCAGCAGGAACGUACAAAUUAAAGCAACAGAGAGAUAUUGAGGUAGGUGGACUCUCCAGGAGACAGUGAGAAAGACACCAUAGCAGGGGAAGACCCAGAUCCAAGAGCAUGACCAUCCAUGCUUGUCUCUUUUGCCAGAUGAACAAAACCUCCAGUGCAUGUUUAUACCCAAUCGAUUAGAACAAAAACAAAAUCAAUAAAUGUCACCAGAUUCAAAGACUUACACAAUGUGUCCGCAACUGAUUUAUGACUAGAAUGCUUAACCUAGCAGAAACAUUCUGAACCCCAAAUAUGAAUGGGAUUUGAUUUUCACAAAAGCUGGCUUAGGAACCUGCACAUUUCUUCCCCAGAAAAAAAUAUAUAUCAAGGAAGCCCAACCCUCACAUGUCACUUGUCUUUUCUUCUCUUGAUAAGUGAGGGGCCUCCAUACCCUUCUUUGGGGAUGCAUAUACCUUUGUUACCAUAAUUUAUAAUAUAUAUAAUUUUUUACUUAUACCUUGCUUUCAAUGUGUCCUGAAAUUGCUUUCAAUGGUGUAAGGCCAGAACCUGCCCUGACCAAGCUAAGGUCCCAAUUCCCCCUUGGAGGGACUUCCUUGAACCCUUAUCUUAUGACAAUACUACUACAUGACUAUUAGAAAGGCCCAAAUCUAAAGCAUUGACAGCAUCAAAUGCUGACCAGGAUAUGGAGCAACAGGAACUCUCAUUCAGUGCUACCAGGAAUGCAAAAUGGUACAGCCACUUAGGCAGUUUCUCAUAAACUAAUCAUGCUCUUACCAAUAUAAUCCAGCAAUGAUGUUCCUUGUAUUUUCCAGAUGAAUUAAAAAUUUACUUGUACAUAAAAAUGUGUGGGUGUUUGUAGCAGCCUUCUUCAUAAUUGAGAAGUAUUGGCUACAACCAAGAUACCUUUGAAUAAGUGAGUAGACAAAUAAACUGUGGUACAUCCAGGCAGUGGAAUAUUAUUCAGUACUAAAAGUAAUGAGCUUUUAAGUCAUGAAAACAUGUAGAUAAGAGGGAAAUUUAAACACAUGUUAUUAAGUAAAGGAAGCCAAUCUGAAAAGACUACAUACCAUAUGAUUCUAUAUGACAUUCUGGAAAAAGGAAAACCUUAGAGACAAGUAAGAAGAUCGUGUUUACCAGACAACAGGGGAAAGGGAGGAAAUGAAUAAACAGCGCAAAGUGAUUUUAAGACAAUGAACCCUAAAGACAGAGUGAAUCCUAAGGUAAGCUGUGGACUUCCGUGUGUAAUGAUGCGUCAAUACAGGGGCAUUGAUUGCAACAAGGUAUCAUACCACUCUGAUGGAGGAAGCUAUGAAUGUGUGGAGGCAGGGGGUACAUGGGAAAUCUCUUUCCACUCAAUUUUUCUGUGAACUGCUCUAAAAAUUAGACCUUUUUCAAUAAACCAUACAUUUGUUGCUGAUUUUUUUUUUUAAUAAAAAGUGAGCAUUGGGCCAGACACGGUGGCACAUGCUUGUAAUCCUAGUGGCUCAGGAGGCUGAGGCAGGAGGAUCACAAGUUCAAAGCCAGCCUCAGCAAAACUGAGGCUAAGCAACUCAGUGAGACUCUGUCUCUAAAGAAAAUGCAAAAUCCUGCUGGGAUGUGGCUCAGUGGUUGAGUGCCCCUGAGUUCAAUCCCCAGUAAACCCCCACCACCACCAAAAACAAAAGUGAUCAUGGGUCUGAUAGACUUGAGAACUCUUCCUUUAGAAGAAAAUGAAGCCUGACUUUUUAGGCUGAAUCCAAAGGAAUUAACUAAUAUAAGAACUUAAACUUCAAAGAGUAAAGUUCACAGGUUUUUUUCCAAAUACCUGCUCUGAAUUACAAAGUUUCAGAAUAAAUGUAGUACUAUAUGUAUAAGACAUAGCCAUUUAUUCUGAAACUAUGUCUUGUACAUGAUACAAUUAUGUAAUUAUAUAUGCAUUCCACAUUAUAUACACUGUGUAUGCAUUCAUACUACUAAGGAUAAUGCAACUCUGAAUUCCAGUUAUUUCCUUCUAACCCAAUGAGAAGAGCAUAUGUCAGUUUUUUUUUUUUUUCAGUCAAGAUAGUACACAGUAAGUAGAACUUCAUCAUGAGAGCAUCAUUGUCAUACACACAGGAUUUUCUUUAGGCUUCCUAAUCAGGCCCUCCCUUCUCAAGCCUAAAAGUCCUGCCAGUGAUCACAGCACCUGGCUUGCUUGGGAGGUUUCAUCCUGGACCUUGGUGGAGGCCUGAUCUUGUUUUGCUGCAGUUGCUAUAGGAGCAGUCCCUGUUGCAGGGACAACUCCAUCCCUAAACAAAUAUAUGCAAAGGGCUGAGAAGCAGAUUUUAGCCUUCACUGCUUUAGACAUCAAGGAAUGAAAACAAUCUGUACAAUCCAAACAGAAUAAAUCCCAAUGCCCCCAAGGGAAGUGGGUGUUUAUUUUUAGGCUUUAAGCACCAGGACCCAGCUUCACCACUGGCCGACCUAGCACUGUGAGCGAGUCUGUAGAAUGGCCAGGAGCUGGGCCAGCGGAGGUGCAAAUGCAAACCAGCCUGGCUGGGAGCCUCUCAUCCUGGGGGGCCUCUCUUCCUGCGGCAGGGGCAUCUGCUUCAGCAGGGUUAAGCCAGGGUGGUCGUUGGCCCAGAGGUGUCCAAGCUGCAAAAAGUGCUGGAAUGCAGACUCCUUGCUCAGCGUCUUGGUCACCCUUGGUGUCCAGGCACUGGAGCCCGGAGGUGCCACGGGAUUGGGCCGAAAUGGUGGCGUAUACCGGGCUGGGACAGGGCCUGAAGCGGUCCUCAUCUCCUGUGGUGCCCUCCACCCAGGUGGGAAACAAAUUGCGCCUGCCUGGCCGGCCCAGGUAGAGAAGGGUGCGCCAGGUCCUCAGCCAGCCCAAAUCUCUCCCCCGAGAACCUAGAAGAGUGUGGACCAGCCCCAAGUCCCGGUGCAAAUGGGGCUGAGGGAAGGCAUCCCCGUCCCUUGCCUUAAAAAUUUAUGGCCUAAAGCAUCAUAAUCCUGCCUUAGUUUUGAAAUGAUAGUUUUGAAUAUCAGCAUACUAUUAUGAGCACAUACUUUUACAAAAUGGACUAUCUUUUUAGGGCAGCUUUAAGUUUACCAAAAAAAUGACCAGAAAGUCCAGAGAGUUCCUGUAUACCUAACUCCUUUUUGUGCAGUUUCUCUAGUAUAUUUGUCAGUACUGAUGAACCAAUAUUCAUACAUUAGUAUUAACCAGAUCCAGGAUAUAAAUUAGGAUUCACUGUUUUGUACAGUUGUAAGAAUUUUGACAAAUGCAUAACGGUCAUACAUCCCUAGUAACCACAGUUCCAAUCAGAGCUUCUCACAUAGUUCUAGAAGAAAAAACUCUUUUUUGGUGCCCUUUAACUUUCCCAUGAACUAAUGGCACAAAAACUGAUUAAAAAAAAAAUUCUAGGUACUUUCCUCGGGUUUCUGUACUACCAAUUGCAUCUACAAUAUUUGGGAAAAUAGAUAUAAGACCUAGUACAAGUUCCCAAACUUUAUUAGGGUAAAUAGUAACCAUAAAAGGUUAGAAAACAUAUCCAAAUACCCAACAUUUCCAUGUGGGAAGCCCAGUGACAAAAACCACUCCCUCUCACAAAAUGUGGCUUUUGCGAUGAUAAUGUGCAAUGGAAAUGUAUUUUAUAGAAUAAAAUGUUAAUGUUUUUAUACUGGGUCUUUGAGCCACUGGGAGGCUUUUAUCUCCCUUUCAAAAAUCUUGUGGAUUACCUAAGUUUGAACAUCACAGUGUCAUUUAUUAGACACAGAAUCUCAUCUAAAUUAUCUGCUCUAAGUGAAUGGAGGACUGUUGGGUUGAUCCAGUUGACAGAUGUCUUUCUUUCACAGAGUGGACUUUGCUCUUUAUACAUCUGAGAUAUGAGCAAAAUCAUGGUUUGAUGAGAGAUUUGUUUAUAUAAGAAAUUUCCCCUGAGAAAUUCCAUUCAUUUUUUUGUUAGCCUGUUUCACUAGACUCUGGAGCAUCCACUAAGGAAAAACAUGGGAAGGAGAAUGGGAAAAAAGCUAAACCAAAGGACACUAGGAAAUAGAAAACAUCUAGGGGUAGAAUAGCUUUCAUUUAAUACAAAUGAAACAUUACUAACUCAUUUAUCUACACUGUACAAACAAAGUGUAUUAUUAGAGGUUAACGGUCAUCUUUUUUUCUUCCCUAGUCAUCUAGCAUUGUUAUCAGCAAAUGGUCACAUUUGUUCUAUUUCUGACCAGAAAGAUAUAAUGUAAGGGAACAUAAGUGGGAAAAUUACUAAGGUGUCUCAUCAAUUAUCUGUAAAACCCCUAAACCUACACAUGCCAUAAGGAUUAGAGCCAAAGGGAAGUGGUGUAGUGAUAAAGGAUCCAAUAAGAUUACUAGAUUCCUAUAUUCAGUAUAUUAGAGGAAACAAUUUUCCAGGGCCAGAUCCCCUAUAAGUAAAUUACCAAACAUCACUUAUUACUUGGCCAAACGUUUGAUCACUAUCUAGGUUACAGUUUGCUAUAAAACUUACACAAGCACCUAAGUCACUGAACCACUUCUAUGUAAGUACAAGCAGGCUAUUCGUUGGCACGGAAGGUAUUCCGCAGCCCUGAGAUUUUGAUAGUCUUGAGUUUUCCCAGAACAUAUGUGCGCUCAAUAAAUAUUGUCCCCAGAGGUCAGCUAACCAGCAACUCUCAGUGUGCGCAGAGCACUGCAGCAAUUUUCCCUGAUGAGCUCAAGUGACUUAAAGAUUUGUUGCCACUUCUUAUUUUUAAAUAUCUUCAGGAUCUUCAGGUCUAUGACUCCUGCAUUCAUACAAGGAUAUGCACACAAGGUCGGGUGAGCAAAAUCAAUCUCCUCCCCUUUGUUAACUUGAUUAGUAGGCUGCUACAACCAAAUGCAUGUUAAAUUUCUGUGUCCCCUGGAAGGAAAUAGACUAGUAGGGAAAAAAUAUUCCUAAUAUUACUUUAUUUCACUAUAUAUAUUUUUGUUUGCUUGCUUGCUUGUCUCUUUUGUUAUUUUGUUAGUCAAGAAAGAAAACUAAUUUCAAGAGCCUUGCAUGGUGGCUUUUCUCUUGCUAUUUAUACCUAUUAAGUGAAUUUUACACAUCUAUUUAUGUUAUUGAACUAUAAUUUAUACAAAGUUAUGCUGUGUUAUUUAUUUAUACAUACUGGGGAUUGAACCCAGGGGCAUUUAACCACUGAGCCACAUGCCCAGCCCUUUUUAUAUUUUAUUUAGAGACAGGGUCUCGCUGAGUUGCUGAGGCUGGAUUUGACUUUGUGAUCCUCCUGUCUCAGCCUCCCCACCCCCCUGAGAUUGCAGGCAUGUGCCACCAUACUGGGCUGUUGUAUUUUCUAUGUGACUAUUUUGAAACUUAUUUUGUUAUUUAACAUUCCAUUGAGCAUCAGAAAUGUGACACAUACCAGCUUAUUUGAAUUUGGAUAUAAUUUCUGAUGAUCAUCUUUCAACUACUUCAUUGUUUUAUUAAGCAGUUUGAAAGGCCUAUUUGUACACUUUAAAAUUCUCUACAGUAAUCUGGCCAUUUUCUUUUCAACUUGGCAAUAAAAGUGCAGAAAGGGGUUGGAUAUUAACAGAAAAUGUCUUAAGAAAUUGGGAACAAUUGGUUCACUUACAUCCUUACACUUUUCAUUUGCAGGGAGAGUAAUGAAGUCCUGUCCUUAUAGUCAAAAGGCCCUCCAGCUGUGUCCUUCUGUACAUGUGAAUCACAUCCUCUGAGUGUCCUAUUGGAGGGGUUGCAUUGCAGUGAUGUGUUUAUGAAUUCUACAGAAUUCCUUAUAAAACAUGAACAAGGGGGCUGAGGCUGUAGCUCAGUGGUAAAGUGCUUGCCUUGUAUGUGUGAGACACUGGGUUCAAUCUUCAGCACCACAUAAAAAUAAAUAAAGACACUGUGUGUUCAUCUACAACUAAAUACACAUUAAAGAAAAAACAUGAACAAGUAAAUUUGGUGAGAUUCUUUUCAUCUACAGUAGGAUCUAACUCAUAAAAGAAAGUAAUUAAGAAUUCCAACAAAGAUAGAAAGAGCCUAUUCCUUGCCACCCACCCUCUCAACAGAGAGGUGAGCUUCGAUCAGGCUUUCUUCUGGUGACCCCCUAGAACUGCCUGCGAGGCUUAAGGAAGAGAGGUAACUCAUUAAUUUUGAGCAGAGUCAGAGCACAUGCCCAGUCAUCAGGGGACAAGCAAGGCCAGAGGGGAGAGGAUAGCACCUACUGGGAUUUUAGGCAAGCUGGGUUUCUUUUCCUUAGCUGUUGCUACAGUUUAGAUCUGAAAUGUCCACCAAAGACUCAGUCCCCAGUUUGGUGUUACAGGGAGGUGGUAGAACCUUUAAAGGGUGGGGACCUGGUGGGAGGUCUUAGGUUAUUGGAAGUGUGUCCUUGACACAGACUGUGGGACCCUGAUUUCUUUCUCUUUCAUACUCCUUCAUUUUUAGCCAUGAGGUGAGCAGCUUUUUCCACCACAGAGUCCCACCGUGUUGUGCUACCCCACCACAAACAAAGCAAUGGCGUCAACCAGUCAUCGAUUAAAACUUACAAAAUUGUGAGCCAAGAUAAACCUUUUCUUUUCCUUUUUUAAAAAAAUUUGUUAUAAUAUAUUCAUACAUUCACACAAUAAAACAGUAUAAUUUGAUCAAUUUCA
Long non-coding RNA from Marmota monax (woodchuck), 7323 nucleotides. RefSeq lists it as uncharacterized. The transcript has 2 exons. The record is from RefSeq and is a predicted model, not a curated record. Lineage: Eukaryota; Metazoa; Chordata; Mammalia; Rodentia; Sciuridae.